CUCAGGAAACACGGGCCCUUGUCACUGAACGAGCCUGGGGAGAGCAGCUUCUGUCAGCAGGAGCACCCAGCCCAGAGGACUGUAAACACGAUGGGACCUGGACCCUAGAAACAGAGCGCCGACGGGCACCUGACUUCCGGCGGCCCGCUCCUCCUCUUCCGUUCACCUCCGUCCCUUUGCGCUGCUGGCUGGAGCUGAGGGCGGGAUAGCGAAUCAAAGAGC
Molecule: long non-coding RNA, 222 nt
Filed under: Bos indicus x Bos taurus (hybrid cattle)
Lineage: Eukaryota; Metazoa; Chordata; Mammalia; Artiodactyla; Bovidae
Description: lncRNA (ENSBIXG00005019299.1)
Source: RNAcentral